This 253-nucleotide ribosomal RNA is filed under the name uncultured bacterium. RNAcentral describes it as "partial 16S ribosomal RNA". It matches the Rfam family "Bacterial small subunit ribosomal RNA", at positions 524 to 776 of the family's 1533-position model. The record is from RNAcentral.
UACGGGGGGAGCAAGCGUUGUUCGGAGUUACUGGGCGUAAAGAGUGCGUAGGUGGUGCCCUAAGUCUGUUGUGAAAUCUCCCGGCUUAACUGGGAGGGUGCGGUGGAAACUGGGGUGCUUGAGUGUGGGAGAGGUAAGCGGAAUUCCUGGUGUAGCGGUGGAAUGCGUAGAUAUCAGGAGGAACACCGGUGGUGUAGACGGCUUACUGGACCACGACUGACACUGAGGCACGAAAGCGUGGGUAGCAAACAGG